GGGCCCGCACAAGCGGUGGAGCAUGUGGUUUAAUUCGAUGAUACGCGAGGAACCUUACCAGGGCUUAAAUGUAGUCUGACAGAUUUGGAAACAGAUUUUUCUUCGGACAGAUUACAAGGUGCUGCAUGGUUGUCGUCAGCUCGUGCCGUGAGGUGUCAGGUUAAGUCCUAUAACGAGCGCAACCCCUAUUGUUAGUUGCCAGCGAGUAAUGUCGGGAACUCUAGCAAGACUGCCGGUGCAAACCGCGAGGAAGGUGGGGAUGACGUCAAAUCAUCACGGCCCUUACGUCCUGGGCCACACACGUGCUACAAUGGCCGGUACAGUGAGCAGCCACUACGCGAGUAGGAGCGAAUCUACAAAGCCGGUCACAGUUCGGAUUGGAGUCUGCAACUCGACUCUAUGAAGCUGGAAUCGCUAGUAAUCGGAUAUCAGCCAUGAUCCGGUGAAUACGUUCCCGGGCCUU
This 463-nucleotide ribosomal RNA is filed under the name uncultured bacterium. RNAcentral describes it as "bacterial SSU rRNA". It matches the Rfam family "Bacterial small subunit ribosomal RNA", at positions 917 to 1382 of the family's 1533-position model. The record is from RNAcentral.